GCGACCGUGGUGAAGUGGAUAUCAUUGGGCCCGCCGAAGGCUUAGGCGCAGGUUCGAUUCCUGCCGGUCGCACCA
RNAcentral lists this transfer RNA (75 nucleotides) under Burkholderiales bacterium. RNAcentral's name for it is "tRNA-Arg". It matches the Rfam family "tRNA". Rfam says of the family: Transfer RNA (tRNA) molecules are approximately 80 nucleotides in length. Their secondary structure includes four short double-helical elements and three loops (D, anti-codon, and T loops). The record is from RNAcentral. Lineage: Bacteria; Pseudomonadati; Pseudomonadota; Betaproteobacteria; Burkholderiales.